UAAUGGCCCUUCCAAUAAGGUCGGGAGAUGCUGAAGCAUUGUUUGUUUUUCGAAUAUAAUUCCUAAAUCCUCAUUUCUUAUGUUAAAGAAGAAACAAAACGAAAAAUUCUGUUUCAUCACACUGAAACAACUUGAGCCAACUAUCCCCUUCAAAAAAGAGCCUUACCCCUAUAGGGGGUUGGUCCACUAUUUAUUAUUUAUAAAAUGUUUGCGAACAGCCAAAAAAAUUUUUAUGUAAGCCAAUUAAAGCUGAAUGAAUGAUGAAUUCAUCCGUUUAAAGCUUAUAAGUUUAAAUCACUUACCUACGCCAAGAAAAAGAAAAGCACGGAGGAAAAAAAAGUUUGUCGGCAGUUGUCAAAAUCGUUUUUCGUAUGCUGUUCGUUUUUUUUGCACAGUAGAAAAACUGAAACAACGUCAGACCAUCUAAUUGUCGAUUUUGAAACUAUUGGCUAUUUUGAAAACAGCAUGUUGUAAUUAACGGAUUUUUAAAUUAGAAAUGAGCAACCUACCCCGUGAGCCAACUAGCCCCGGUCUCCCGUACUGUCACAGGACAAAUUAGAUGAUUCUUUUGAUGAUGCAACGUGUGAAAAUGACCUUACAUCAUCUGAGCAUACUUCACUACAAGCGAAAGACAUACUGGCUGACAACUGUAACUCAACCAUGGCAAAAAUAUUGGUUGAAUGCACCAAAAACCCUUUGGGCAGACAAAGCUGUGUCAUGGUAUAGGAGUUAUAUGGUACGCGUACUCGAGAGGGCGAAAGUGGGACAAAAAUUGGAAUCGUCUAUUUUGGCAACUCUGGCCGGGUGUGUAACUAGAGGGCCUACUUUAACGUAGGCUCUUAUGGGACUACCCCUUUUGAACUGUUACAUUAAGGUGUUUGAAUUUUUUUUUUCAUUUAGAAAAA
Molecule: long non-coding RNA, 905 nt
Organism: Daphnia magna
Lineage: Eukaryota; Metazoa; Arthropoda; Branchiopoda; Diplostraca; Daphniidae
Exons: 3
Source: RefSeq, a predicted model, not a curated record